This 412-nucleotide ribosomal RNA is filed under the name uncultured bacterium. RNAcentral describes it as "bacterial SSU rRNA". It matches the Rfam family "Bacterial small subunit ribosomal RNA", at positions 505 to 916 of the family's 1533-position model. The record is from RNAcentral.
GUGCCAGCAGCCGCGGUAAUACGUAGGUGGCAAGCGUUGUCCGGAAUUAUUGGGCGUAAAGGGAGCGCAGGUGGGAAUAUCAGUCUGUCUUAAAAGUUCGGGGCUCAACCCCGUGAUGGGAUGGAAACUAUAUUUCUUGAGUGCAGGAGAGGAAAGUGGAAUUCCUAGUGUAGCGGUGAAAUGCGUAGAUAUUAGGAGGAACACCAGUGGCGAAGGCGACUUUCUGGACUGUAACUGACACUGAGGCUCGAAAGCCAGGGUAGUGAACGGGAUUAGAUACCCCGGUAAUCCUGGCCGUAAACGAUGGGUACUAGGUGUAGGAGGUAUCGACCCCUUCUGUGCCGGAGUUAACGCAAUAAGUACCCCGCCUGGGGAGUACGGCCGCAAGGUUGAAACUCAAAGAAAUUGACGG